This 245-nucleotide ribosomal RNA is filed under the name uncultured bacterium. RNAcentral's name for it is "partial 16S ribosomal RNA". It matches the Rfam family "Bacterial small subunit ribosomal RNA", at positions 524 to 767 of the family's 1533-position model. The record is from RNAcentral.
GACGAACCGUGCGAACGUUAUUCGGAAUCACUGGGCUUAAAGCGCGCGUAGGCGGGCCGGCACGUCCGUCGCUGAAAGCCCCCGGCUCAACCGGGGAAGCGGCGGGGAUACGACCGGCCUGGAGGGGCGUAGGGGGACCUGGAACUUCCGGUGGAGCGGUGAAAUGCGUUGAGAUCGGAAGGAACGCCCGUGGCGAAAGCGAGGUCCUGGACGCCUGCUGACGCUGAGGCGCGAAAGCCAGGGGA